Molecule: long non-coding RNA, 2266 nt
Filed under: Olea europaea subsp. europaea
Lineage: Eukaryota; Viridiplantae; Streptophyta; Magnoliopsida; Lamiales; Oleaceae
Source: RNAcentral
GUUUGCAUUGGUGAUAUAGGGAAUGCGGAAAGCAUUGUUCCAGCAAUCCAAGGUAUUGACGCGCUCAUCAUUCUUACAAGUUCCAUGCCAAAGGUAGAACCCAGGUCUGACCCAGCUAAAGGUGGAAGGCGGGAAUUCUGUUUUGACGAUGGAGCAUAUCCUGAACAGGUAUCAUUACCUAGAGUGUGUUUGGCUACGCAUAGAAAAUGUAAGAGUUAAUUUGGAGUAACUUUUUGUUUUCCAAAUAUUUGGUUGUGUUAAUUUAUAUCUUAUUUUCAAGUAAAAAAUGUUAAUUAAUUCGGAAGUGCUCUUACCUUAACGUACUUAUUUUCAGCCUUAACCAUUCAAGAAAGUGAUUUAUUUCUAAACUAAUUUACUAAAAGGUAAAUGUUUUAGCUUAGCCAAACAUGGUUCUAGUAGAGUUUGUGUUAGAGCUCCCUUUCUGCGUCAUCACUGAUCUUCAGUAUACAUUUCUAGGUUGAUUAGAUUGGGCAAAAGAACUAAAUAGAUGCCAGUGAGAAACAGUACUAAAAUUUACCGUUUCUAAUAGUUUCCUUACUCAACAGAAAGAUGUGAUUUAUGGGUUGAACAGCAAAAGCUGCUGGAGUGAAGCACAGUAUUAAUUGGAUGAAUGGGAGGAACUAAUGAAAACCACCCUUUAAACAGCUUGGGAAAUGGAAACAUAUUGGUUUGUUCUCCCUUUGCCUAGAUUCUCUUUUUCUUUUAUCGCCUCUUUUCAUGUACUAUUUUCUCUUCUGUCACAUCUCAAGAGGUUGAAGAUGCAUCCCCGCAUAUAGAUUGUUAUAUGUCAGUUUUUUCUUUUGAUAGUUUUCAUUCCUUCUUCCACACUCUGCCUUUUGGUUGUCUAUGUGGAUUUAAAGCUCAUGGUUACAAUGGAAGCUGAGAUAUUGCCAGUAUCUGAUUUCUCAGCUGGUAUAAUAAAAUUGAGUUCUCAUCCUAUAUAUUCAACUUAUAUUUGCAAAGAAAAGAAAAAUCUUUCUGCGAAUCAAGUCUAAAUUAAAUGGAGCGGCUUAUAAACAAUAUUGUCAAUACGCCUCUCAAUCCUGGAGCAAGCAAAAAGCUUCGCUUUAAGGUCAGUUGAGCUGAGUGACAUGUUUACUCGACCAGUGCUUGUUUUAUCUUAUAAUUUACUUGCUUUCCUCCUGGCUUCCAUUGAAAAGUAACUGUUGUUAUUCAACACAAGCAAAGCAAAAGAAGUAAAAAGACAGCAAAGAAAAUAAAAUGAUUUCUGGAAACUUGGAUAUAUUUUAUUCUCUGCACAGCUCUUUAUAUAGAGCUGGAGUUUAACAGAAUGCCAAAGAAAUUUGCUGAUUACAAGGCAUGACAACAACUUAUCUAAGAAAACUUGCAAAAUCAAAUGUUGUUAGCUCAUAAUCCCAUUAUAAUCAACUGUGAAUAUCUUGGGCUUCAAACUCAGAUGUUGAUACUAGCAAUGAGUAAGCCCUACUGUUAAUGUCUAGAGGAAUAGUGAUGAAAAAACCACCGAUUUAUGGUGGUUACAUUGUCCGCUUACUGCUGCUGAUUUUCACUACAAUGAGGAAAGAAAUUAUAAAAUUGUCCUCAUACUUCAGUGAUCUUACAGAGAAAAAUGGUCUCCCUGAUUCCUCAUGUAAUAUAGGAUAUUAAGGGGACCUAAUACAAAAUAAGGAAUGCCCAAUAUACUCCUAGACUAGGUUGAUCCAUGGACGAGGUGAUAAGUGAACUGUACAGUUAAGCUCUACAGUCCAGUAAAAUACUUUAAUCAUAUACUAGAUGAAACUUGCUGAGAAUACAUGCUCUCAACAUUUUUCGUUCAGGUUAUGCAUAAUCUGAAAAUUAACUCUCAUUUCUUUGGUUGGUGUAGGGCUGGAGGGUUGCAAGAUAAAGGCAGGCGUGUAAGGGAGCUACUUGUUGGAAAGGAUGAUUAACUUUUCAGACAGGAACAAGGACUACUGCCAUAGCCGAUAUGGCAGAAGUCUGCAUUCAGGUAAUUUCUACCUCUGGGAGCAAUAAUAAUCUGAAAAGAAGCAAUGUACGCACAAAUUUGAAGUCUUCUAUCUACACUGUAUUAUCUUGGUUUCUCAGUGGUUUUAAAGUAUCUGAUCUAAUGAAAUCUCACGAACAGUCACGCCAACUAAGGACUUCAAGACUAUUUUCCCAGAUCAGUACUCGAUUCUCAUUAAUGAGCUCAACAAUUAUCAGUUUCUUAUUUACAUUCUUAUUCAAAGCUCGAUAAUUUUUAAUUUUAAUUUUGAUCCAACCACCA